This is a long non-coding RNA of Callithrix jacchus (white-tufted-ear marmoset), 1801 nucleotides long. The record is from Ensembl. NCBI's taxonomy places the organism in Eukaryota, Metazoa, Chordata, Mammalia, Primates, Cebidae.
GAUCCACCUGUCUUGGCCUCCCAGAGUGUUGGGAUUACAGGCGUGAGCCACUGCUCCUGGCCUAAUUUAUUUCUAGACAAGGUUUGGCUCUGUCACCCAGGCUGGGGUGUAACCUCAUUGUAACCUCUGUUUCCCAGGGUCAAGCCAUUCUCCUGGUCUCAGCCUCCCAAGUAGCUGGGACUACGGGCACUCACCACCACACCUGGCUAAUUUUUGUGAUUUUGGUAGAGACAGGGUUUCACCAUGUUGCCCAGGCUUGUCUUAAACUCCUGAGCUCAAGCAAUCUGCCACCUCAGCAUCUCAAAGUGCUGGGAUUACAGACAUGACCCACCAAGCCUGGCCAGAAUGUUAAAUUUUGUUGGAACUCUUCUGCAUUUAUUGAAAUGAUCAUAUAAUUUUUCUGCAUUAAUCUGUUAGUAUGGUCUAUAAAACAUAUUGAAAUAUUUUUCUAAUAUUGAGUAAACCUUGCAUUACUGGAUUAAAUACAACAUGGUCAUGCUGUAUUAUUGUUAAUAUAUUCUGUGGCAGAUUUUAUAUACCUACUCACUGAUAUACAGUGUUACUUUUCUUUGCCUUUCUCUGACAGACAGGUAAGCCUCCCUUUCAACUAGAGUGGCCCUAUGACAGAGCUUGGGUCAAUGAGAUGCAAAAUAGAAGUCUGGAAAUUUCUGGAAAAAGUCUUUGUUCUCCUGACCCAGAUAUGGGGUCUCGCCAUAUUUCCCAGACUGGUUUCAAACUUCUGGACUCAAGUGAUUCUCCCACCUCAGCCUCCCAAGUAGUCGGGACCACAGUACUUGUAAGAUUCCUUCUAUAUUUUAGAUAUUAACCCUUAUCUGGUAUAUGACUUGUAAAUAUUUUCUCUUAUUCCAUAGAUUUCUUUUGCAUUUUGUUGACUGUUUCUUUUGCUGUGCAGAAACUUUUUAGUUUGAUGUAAUCCUUCUCAUCUACUUUUGCUUUCGUGGCCUGCAUUUUGGUGUUAUAGCCAAGAAAUCAUUGCCAAGGCCAAUGUCAAAAGUUUUUCUCUAUGUUUUCUUCUAGGUGUUUUAUAGUUUCAGGCCUUACACUUGAAUCUUCAAUGCAUUUUUGAUUUGAAUUUUGUAUAUGUUACAAAAUAAGGCUCCAAUUUCAUUCUUUUGUAUAUACUCAAUUUCCCCAAUACCAUUUAUUGAAGUGACUAGCCUUUUCCUAUUGAAUAUUUUUGGCACCUUAUUGAAGAUUAGUUGACUGUGUACACACAGGUUUAUUUCUGGGCUGUCUAUUCUGCUCCAUUGGUCUAAAGGCCUGUUUUAUGACAAUAUGACAGUAUUUCGAUUAUCGCAGCACUGUGAUGAGUUUCAAAAUUAGGAAGUGUGAUGCUUCCAGCUUUGUUUUUCUUGCUCAAUAGAAAUGUCUCUAGUGUCUCUUAUAAAUUACCUGGAGUUAGAUUAUUUUUAUUCAGACUGAUAAUCUUUGAUUUUUAAUAAAAGAACUUGGACUAUUUGUAUUAAUAAUAAUUUUUAUUUAUUUGAGUAUAUGUCUUCUGUUUUCCUUUGUGCUCUUGAUUUCUUCUGCUUUUCUGUUCGCUUCCUUUUCUUCCUGGUCUUGACACCCACCCCCUCUGCUUUUCCUAAAAAAAUUAUUUUUUUCAUUCACUCCCUUGUUUUCCUUUACUAGUUUUCAAAUUAUGAAAUUUUUUUCUCUUCCCCUAAUUGUUAUUGUAAAAAUUUUUAAGUGUGCCCUAAUUAUAAAGUAGUCAAUAACUUUUUCUUAACCUCCUCUAGGCCAUACAGAGAUUUUAUAACGUAUUAAUACCUAUUAGCCU